ACUUUUCUCUGUUAAAAUCUGCUCCGUGUGGGUAUUGCAGCAGGCUGCAUCUUUGAAACUCUUAAUAUUAUAGGAAUUCAUAUUUAUUCAGGCCAUUGGUCUGAUUUUAUCAGUAAAGUUACUCUCAUCAAAUAAAAUAAUCGCAUGAAGAGGAACAACUUUAUGCACAGCACAGCUGCUACCACAAAUAAGAUAAUUCUACUCAUAAUGGUAUUUUCCCUCGUUAUGGCAUGUCCUCAGCCAGAAAAUACAUUUUGAUGGCAGUUGGAGAGAAGACAAUGAUACGCAAAAUCCCAGGUAACAAGACCAGGGCAGAAAUUUGAGUCUUUUGUUGGGCUGAUGGGUAAAAGGAGCUCAGAGGAACAAG
This is a long non-coding RNA of Oncorhynchus masou masou (cherry salmon), 367 nucleotides long. RefSeq lists it as uncharacterized. The record is from RefSeq and is a predicted model, not a curated record. NCBI's taxonomy places the organism in Eukaryota, Metazoa, Chordata, Actinopteri, Salmoniformes, Salmonidae. The transcript is spliced from 3 exons.